This 115-nucleotide ribosomal RNA is filed under the name Immundisolibacter cernigliae. Lineage: Bacteria; Pseudomonadati; Pseudomonadota; Gammaproteobacteria; Immundisolibacterales; Immundisolibacteraceae. RNAcentral also lists the same sequence under 1 other name. The record is from RNAcentral.
CCUGGCGGAAAUAGCAAGUGGGAACCACCCGAUCCCAUUCCGAACUCGGAAGUGAAACCACUGUGCGCCGAUGAUAGUGUGGGUUCGCCCAUGUGAAAGUAGGUCACCGCCAGGC